RNAcentral lists this ribosomal RNA (465 nucleotides) under Vreelandella stevensii. Its description in RNAcentral is "partial 16S ribosomal RNA". It matches the Rfam family "Bacterial small subunit ribosomal RNA", at positions 338 to 795 of the family's 1533-position model. The record is from RNAcentral. Lineage: Bacteria; Pseudomonadati; Pseudomonadota; Gammaproteobacteria; Oceanospirillales; Halomonadaceae.
CCUACGGGUGGCAGCAGUGGGGAAUAUUGGACAAUGGGGGCAACCCUGAUCCAGCCGUGCCGCGUGUGUGAAGAAGGCCCUCGGGGUGUAAAGCACUUUCAGUGAGGAAGAACGCCUGGUGGUUAAUACCCAUCAGGAAAGACAUCACUCACAGAAGAAGCACCGGCUAACUCCGUGCCAGCAGCCGCGGUAAUACGGAGGGUGCGAGCGUUAAUCGGAAUUACUGGGCGUAAAGCGCGCGUAGGUGGCUUGAUAAGCCGGUUGUGAAAGCCCCGGGCUCAACCUGGGAACGGCAUCCGGAACUGUCAAGCUAGAGUGCAGGAGAGGAAGGUAGAAUUCCCGGUGUAGCGGUGAAAUGCGUAGAGAUCGGGAGGAAUACCAGUGGCGAAGGCGGCCUUCUGGACUGACACUGACACUGAGGUGCGAAAGCGUGGGUAGCAAACAGGAUUAGAUACCCGAGUAGUC